GGCCGCGUGUACUGUUGCGACCCGCAAGAUACGUGGGUGCAGGAGCUGAUGGCCAACAUCGACAAGAAAGCCGUCAAACACGUCAAGAAAACCGCCCCAAAGCGCCAAAAGAGUCGCUUGAUCAGCUGAGUGAGGCCUCACCCUCCUGGAGAAAAAGGCAAUCGACGUUUUGACUUUCACUGUUGACUUUUUUUUUGCAUUCACUGGACUUUUUAUUGUGACGACGCGUGACCAUGAUGUGACGAAACAGUGUUUACGUGCAAAUGGAAACCAUAAAAUGUGAAUCUGAACUGUGUGUAGCAUGAGCGCUUGCUUAAACAUUGUGACAAUAAAACUGCUUAGCCAUUCAAA
Hippocampus comes (tiger tail seahorse) is the source of this 351-nucleotide long non-coding RNA. RefSeq lists it as uncharacterized. The record is from RefSeq and is a predicted model, not a curated record. NCBI's taxonomy places the organism in Eukaryota, Metazoa, Chordata, Actinopteri, Syngnathiformes, Syngnathidae. The transcript is spliced from 2 exons.